Molecule: unclassified non-coding RNA, 520 nt
Filed under: Hevea brasiliensis (rubber tree)
Lineage: Eukaryota; Viridiplantae; Streptophyta; Magnoliopsida; Malpighiales; Euphorbiaceae
Source: RNAcentral
GUAUAUUUCUUCUUUACGGCUGUUAGCUUGCUCCCAUUACACCUUUGGCUUCUCUUUCUGGUUCACAUACAUGUAUUUGAUCAACAUCUAUUUUAGUUUUAUUAUAAUUUUCUUGCUUGAAACUAUUUUGAUGCUUUAAAUUGAUGGCAUAAUUAUCUUCUUCCAAUAAAAAUGUGUAUGCUAAACAUUUGGUACGAUUUCUGUAGUUUCAUUAUAUUUCAGUUCUCCAAACCCUAUACUAGUUUCUCUACUACCAAACCUUUUUGUAAUUUUUGUGCUUGAUUUGCCAUUGGAAUGAUUUUAUGAUGAUCAGAUAUGUUUUGAAACUUUGAAAUUCAAAGUUUAAAGCUUCCUGUUCAUCUUGUACCUUGUUUCCUCCCUCUUUUGUUCCUAGGUUUUCUUUCAGCAACAAAUUUACAUUUUGCUAUGGUUAUUUUCUAUUGUUGGCUUUGAAUUGAGCUAAAAUCAGUCUUGAUUGAUGGCUUUUGGGUUUGAAUUUUUAGGGUGUAUCAAGUUUCUA